GCCGGGCAUGGUGGCCCAUGCCUGUAAUCCCAGCUACUCAGGAGGCUGAGACAGGAGAAUCGUUUGAACCCAGGAGGCGGAGGUUGCAGUGAGCCAACAUCGUGCCAUCGCACUCCAGCCUGGGUGACAGAGCGAGACUCCGUCUCAC
This 148-nucleotide non-coding RNA is filed under the name Gorilla gorilla gorilla (western lowland gorilla). Lineage: Eukaryota; Metazoa; Chordata; Mammalia; Primates; Hominidae. The record is from Rfam by way of RNAcentral.